Molecule: ribosomal RNA, 253 nt
Filed under: uncultured bacterium
Lineage: Bacteria
Description: partial 16S ribosomal RNA
Rfam family: Bacterial small subunit ribosomal RNA
Source: RNAcentral
UACGUAGGGGGCGAGCGUUGUCCGGAUUUAUUGGGCGUAAAGAGCGUGUAGGCGGCCAGGUAGGUCUGCUGUGAAAACUCGAGGCUUAACCUCGAGAUGUCAUCGGAAACCAUCUGGCUAGAGUCCGGAAGAGGAGAGUGGAAUUCCUGGUGUAGCGGUGAAAUGCGCAGAUAUCAGGAAGAACACCAAUGGCGAAAGCAGCUCUCUGGGACGGUACUGACGCUGAGACGCGAAGGCGUGGGGAGCGAACAGG